GACGAACGCUGGCGGCGUGCUUAACACAUGCAAGUCGAACGGAAAGGCCCUGCUUUUGUGGGGUGCUCGAGUGGCGAACGGGUGAGUAACACGUGAGUAACCUGCCCUUGACUUUGGGAUAACUUCAGGAAACUGGGGCUAAUACCGGAUAGGAGCUCCUGCUGCAUGGUGGGGGUUGGAAAGUUUCGGCGGUUGGGGAUGGACUCGCGGCUUAUCAGCUUGUUGGUGGGGUAGUGGCUUACCAAGGCUUUGACGGGUAGCCGGCCUGAGAGGGUGACCGGCAAAAUUGGGACUGAGAUACGGCCCAGACUACAACGGGAGGCAGCAGUGGGGAAUAUUGCACAAUGGGAGGAAGCCUGAUGCAGCAAAGCCGCGUGCGGGAUGACGGCCUUCGGGUUGUAAACCGCUUUCGCCUGUGACGAAGCGUGAGUGACGGUAAUGGGUAAAGAAGCACCGGCUAACUACGUG
RNAcentral lists this ribosomal RNA (468 nucleotides) under uncultured bacterium. Its description in RNAcentral is "partial 16S ribosomal RNA". It matches the Rfam family "Bacterial small subunit ribosomal RNA", at positions 28 to 507 of the family's 1533-position model. The record is from RNAcentral.